UCUACCUAGUAGUACGGAAUAAUUGUUGGAAACGGCAACUAAUACCGUAUACGCCCUACGGGGGAAAAAUUUAUUGCUAUUAGAUGAGCCUAUAUUAGAUUAGCUAGUUGGUGGAGUAAUAGCCUACCAAGGCAAUGAUCUAUAGCUGAUCUGAGAGGAUGAUCAGCCAUACUGGAACUGAGAUACGGUCCAGACUCCUACGGGAGGCAGCAGUGGGGAAUAUUGGACAAUGGGCGAAAGCCUGAUCCAGCCAUGCCGCAUGAGUGAAGAAGGCCUUUGGGUUGUAAAGCUCUUUUAGUGAGGAAGAUAAUGACGGUACUCACAGAAGAAGUCCUGGCUAACUCCGUGCCAGCAGCCGCGGUAAUACGGAGAGGGCUAGCGUUAUUCGGAAUUAUUGGGCGUAAAGGGCGCGUAGGCUGGUUAGUAAGUUAAAAGUGAAAUCCCGAGGCUUAACCUUGGAAUUGCUUUUAAAACUGCUAACCUAGAGAUUGAAAGAGGAUAGAGGAAUUCCUAGUGUAGAGGUGAAAUUCGUAAAUAUUAGGAGGAACACCAGUGGCGAAGGCGUCUAUCUGGUUCAAAUCUGACGCUGAGGCGCGAAGGCGUGGGGAGCAAACAGGAUUAGAUACCCUGGUAGUCCACGCUGUAAACGAUGAAUGUUAAAUAUGGGGAGUUUACUUUCUGUAUUACAGCUAACGCGUUAAACAUUCCGCCUGGGGACUACGGUCGCAAGAUUAAAACUCAAAGGAAUUGACGGGGACCCGCACAAGCGGUGGAGCAUGUGGUUUAAUUCGAUGCAACGCGAAAAACCUUACCACUCCUUGACAUGGAAAUUAUACCUAUUCGAAGGGAUAGG
Molecule: ribosomal RNA, 853 nt
Filed under: uncultured bacterium
Lineage: Bacteria
Description: bacterial SSU rRNA
Rfam family: Bacterial small subunit ribosomal RNA
Source: RNAcentral